Molecule: long non-coding RNA, 200 nt
Filed under: Homo sapiens (human)
Lineage: Eukaryota; Metazoa; Chordata; Mammalia; Primates; Hominidae
Description: HSALNT0176939
Source: RNAcentral
GGAACUUGGUCUGCUUCAGCCCAAGAGGAAUCAAAAGAUCAAAAGCAGUUUGGGAAGGCCAGAACCGUCAAGGGAUGGAGGGAGAAGGAAAAUCCAGGGGGAAGGGGGCAGCCUGCAACCCCCAAGGGCAGGUGUGGGGCUGCCAGAUGCUCCAGGCAGGGGGCCAGAAGGGGCUCACAAAGGCUUGCCCUCCAGGGAGA